Mytilus trossulus (common blue mussel) is the source of this 177-nucleotide long non-coding RNA. RefSeq lists it as uncharacterized. The record is from RefSeq and is a predicted model, not a curated record. The transcript has 3 exons. Lineage: Eukaryota; Metazoa; Mollusca; Bivalvia; Mytilida; Mytilidae.
UUGUGUUGCUGUUUUUACAGGCAGUUAGCUGUUCAGCUCUGACAUGCUUCAACUGUCCUGGGAUUCGACAUCCACGAUUUUGUGAACACGUCCAAGAAUGCUCUGAUAAUCAGAUAUGUGGUGUUGAGCGAAUUACAGACAAAACAGGGGAGAUAAUCUACAAAAGCGGAUGUAUGA